UUUGCUCCUUCUGAAGCCUCUAUAUAUGAAGGGUUAUUUAUUGUGGCACUAGCACUUGCUAAAACUUAAUGGGAAAAAAAUAUUGUAAGCAUCACCAUGGUAUUUGUCACAGUUGCAAGUAAUAAUUUUGUUUCCAAAAUCUGUCUGCUCAUUCUUCUUCUUUUUCCUCCCCCCCCCCUUUUUUUUUUCUUCAGAAAAGAUGCCCUGCUGAUAUGAAAAUUGCAUAUGCUGCACUUGGAUGGACAGAUUAAAAACACCCAGAACCAAGCUUAUUCAUGGAGGAACCAGGUGAAAUUUCCUAUUCAGAUACUGCUCAGGAGAAAUAUGUUCCAAGUGACAGCAUCUUUGACAACUUGUACUUUUUGUUCUACCUUUUGUUCUUCUUCCUGUGAAAAGCCAUGUGAUGAAGAUUGCUGGAGAACAUUGAUACCUUCCCUACU
This 440-nucleotide long non-coding RNA is filed under the name Anser brachyrhynchus (Pink-footed goose). RNAcentral's name for it is "lncRNA (ENSABRG00000003614.1)". Lineage: Eukaryota; Metazoa; Chordata; Aves; Anseriformes; Anatidae. The record is from RNAcentral.